RNAcentral lists this ribosomal RNA (447 nucleotides) under uncultured bacterium. RNAcentral describes it as "SSU rRNA". It matches the Rfam family "Bacterial small subunit ribosomal RNA", at positions 26 to 518 of the family's 1533-position model. The record is from RNAcentral.
AGAACGAACGCUGGCGGCAGGCCUAACACAUGCAAGUCGAACGCUCGUAGCAAUACGGGAGUGGCAGACGGGUGAGUAACACGUGGGAACAUGCCCUUCGGUUCGGAAUAACUCAGGGAAACUUGAGCUAAUACCGGAUACGAUCGAGAGAUGAAAGAUUCAUCGCCGAAGGAUUGGCCCGCGUCCGAUUAGCUAGUUGGUGAGGUAACGGCUCACCAAGGCGACGAUCGGUAGCUGGUCUGAGAGGAUGAUCAGCCACACUGGGACUGAGACACGGCCCAGACUCCUACGGGAGGCAGCAGUGGGGAAUAUUGGACAAUGGGCGCAAGCCUGAUCCAGCCAUGCCGCGUGAGUGAUGAAGGCCCUAGGGUUGUAAAGCUCUUUCGUCAGGGACGAUAAUGACGGUACCUGAAGAAGAAGCCCGGCUAACUUCGCGCCAGCAGCCGC